GCGGUCGUGGCGGAAUGGCAGACGCGCUAGGUUGAGGGCCUAGUGGGAGUUUAUCCCGUGUGAGUUCGACUCUCACCGACCGCA
Molecule: transfer RNA, 84 nt
Filed under: Actinophytocola xinjiangensis
Lineage: Bacteria; Bacillati; Actinomycetota; Actinomycetes; Pseudonocardiales; Pseudonocardiaceae
Also listed under: 1 other name
Description: tRNA-Leu
Rfam family: tRNA
About the family: Transfer RNA (tRNA) molecules are approximately 80 nucleotides in length. Their secondary structure includes four short double-helical elements and three loops (D, anti-codon, and T loops).
Source: RNAcentral